RNAcentral lists this ribosomal RNA (440 nucleotides) under uncultured bacterium. RNAcentral describes it as "partial 16S ribosomal RNA". It matches the Rfam family "Bacterial small subunit ribosomal RNA", at positions 338 to 795 of the family's 1533-position model. The record is from RNAcentral.
CCUACGGGAGGCAGCAGUAGGGAAUAUUGCUCAAUGGGGGAAACCCUGAAGCAGCAACGCCGCGUGGAGGAUGAAGGUUUUCGGAUUGUAAACUCCUUUUGUUAGAGAAGAUAAUGACGGUAUCUAACGAAUAAGCACCGGCUAACUCCGUGCCAGAAGCCGCGGUAAUACGGAGGGUGCAAGCGUUACUCGGAAUCACUGGGCGUAAAGAGAGCGUAGGCGGGAUAGCAAGUCAGAUGUGAAAUCCUAUGGCUUAACCAUAGAACUGCAUUUGAAACUGUUAUUCUAGAGUAUGGGAGAGGUAGGUGGAAUUCUUGGUGUAGGGGUAAAAUCCGUAGAGAUCAAGAGGAAUACUCAUUGCGAAGGCGACCUGCUAGAACAUCACUGACGCUGAUGCGCGAAAGCGUGGGGAGCAAACAGGAUUAGAUACCCCUGUAGUC